CUUUGUCUUUAAGAGAUAUUGCAAAUUGACAAGGUGUUAGAAAUGGAACAUAUAUUUUUUCAUAGAUGUUUCUUUAAGCAAUAACCUCAUAAUAUGUUUGCGCCAUUUUGUCCCAGACGAAUUACAAUAACAAUAAUGCAUAAACAAGCUUCAAGGCUAUACUACGACACUUGCAGUACACAAUAUACUGUGGUAACCCCAAGUUAAUGGAACUUCCCCAAAUCUGGGAAUCUCCCACGACUGUGCACUUACGACUUAGUAUAAACAACAGAUAACCUAUUUAGACUUUAAGAUGCCAUCUUGAACUAAGUCAGGAAAAUUUCCAUGAUGUUUGCACCCUUUAGUUAUGGCCUUGUAUGUUUGCCAAAUUAAAGGAGGUCCUAAAAUGAAUAAAGUAAAUGAACUACGGUAACCCUAAAAUGGAGACACCUAAGGUAUAAAUAGGUGUACUUUUAAAUGUUAAGACACAGAGGAGAGACUUGGAGACAGACGCUACUCCAUCUUAAAAUGACAGAGAGUCUGACAUGAUGACAUGUUCAGAAGGGUAUGUUAACCUAUUAAUGAUAUUUGCAAGCAUUUAGUUUAAUCUUAUAAACUCUGCUAUAAUGGAU
This 611-nucleotide long non-coding RNA is filed under the name Pelobates cultripes (western spadefoot toad). Lineage: Eukaryota; Metazoa; Chordata; Amphibia; Anura; Pelobatidae. The record is from RNAcentral.